Molecule: long non-coding RNA, 536 nt
Organism: Nyctereutes procyonoides (raccoon dog)
Lineage: Eukaryota; Metazoa; Chordata; Mammalia; Carnivora; Canidae
Exons: 3
Source: RefSeq, a predicted model, not a curated record
CCUACACGACCAGUCUGAGGAUCUUAACGGGGAAUUUGGAGCUUUUAUCAGAAUGACGUUUUCCUUCAUGGAGUCUAAGGAAUAAGACAAAAGACCUAAAUCAGGGGCAACUGAGAAAAAAGAGCUCCCAUCAAAGGCAGGAAGCCAAACUAGAGAAGAGGGAAGAAGACUCAGCGAGCUGUAAAAUGGACACACAAGCCAGGAUGAGAAAAAAUCUUCAAAACGUUUUAGAAGAAAGGCAAGUUGCCUGUGAAGAAAGAAUACAGAAAACUAAAGAACUAUAAAGAAACCACAUUUGAAGGAUGAGAAGAAACUACCAGUGGAAGACAUGUGAAGACUGAACUUGGAAAGCAAACAAAAAAUAGAUGCGAACAACUAGGAAAUAUAAAAAUAAAGAAGUUGGACAUUAAGAUGCUUCUUUGUAGGGCUGAAAUAAAGUGCAAUUCUGGAUCUUGUGAAAAGAAGUGAAAGGAAGAAAAAGAAAAGGAAGAAAGUCUUUAAGGAAAAAGAGACACCAUAAUAAAAGCUAUGACUAU